AUGCGAGCUCUGUAUGAUGGUUGUUUUUACUCCUUUGGUGAUCUCAAUUCCUCCAUUAUCACUCUGCUGCCAAAGAAAUCAGACUCCCUGGAGGUUAGCGAUUUCAGGCCCAUUAAUCUCAUUCAUUGGGUGGCAAAGAUUUUUGCCAAGGUGCUAGCUGUUCGUGUCGCCCCCCUCGUUCCCACUUUAAUAUCACAAGCCUAGACUGCUUUCGUAUGCAAACGCAAUAUGCACGAGAACUUCAAAUUUGUGUGCAAUGCGGCCAGAUGGCUC
This 273-nucleotide ribosomal RNA is filed under the name Triticum aestivum (bread wheat). RNAcentral describes it as "partial small subunit ribosomal RNA". Lineage: Eukaryota; Viridiplantae; Streptophyta; Magnoliopsida; Poales; Poaceae. The record is from RNAcentral.